This 253-nucleotide ribosomal RNA is filed under the name uncultured bacterium. Its description in RNAcentral is "partial 16S ribosomal RNA". It matches the Rfam family "Bacterial small subunit ribosomal RNA", at positions 524 to 776 of the family's 1533-position model. The record is from RNAcentral.
UACAGAGGACUCAAGCGUUGUUCGGAUUCAUUGGGCGGAAAGGGUGCGUAGGUGGUUGGGUAAGUCAAAUGUGAAAUCCCGGAGCUCAACUCCGGAACUGCAUUCGAUACUGCCCGGCUCGAGGAUUGGAGAGGAGACUGGAAUUCACGGUGUAGCAGUGAAAUGCGUAGAGAUCGUGAGGAACACCCGUGGCGAAGGCGGGUCUCUGGACAAUUCCUGACACUGAGGCACGAAGGCCAGGGGAGCAAACGGG